ACGACAGUGGAUUUAUGUGGGGCCUUUCUCUGUGGGCCUCUCAUAGUGCAUUUACGUCGCAGUAAACAGCAGCCUCAAACUAUUGCCCAGCUUCCUUACCUGUGGGCUGUGAGCCCUGACAGGGAUGGUAAAGUG
Molecule: small nucleolar RNA, 135 nt
Organism: Molossus molossus (Pallas's mastiff bat)
Lineage: Eukaryota; Metazoa; Chordata; Mammalia; Chiroptera; Molossidae
Product: small nucleolar RNA SNORA42/SNORA80 family
Exons: 1
Source: RefSeq, a predicted model, not a curated record